Molecule: ribosomal RNA, 375 nt
Filed under: uncultured Pseudomonas sp.
Lineage: Bacteria; Pseudomonadati; Pseudomonadota; Gammaproteobacteria; Pseudomonadales; Pseudomonadaceae
Description: bacterial SSU rRNA
Rfam family: Bacterial small subunit ribosomal RNA
Source: RNAcentral
AUACUUCUUCGGACAAUAUACAAGGUGCUGCAUGGUUGUCGUCAGCUCGUGUCGUGAGAUGUUGGGUUAAGUCCCGUAACCGAGCGCAACCCUUGUCCUUAGUUACCAGCACGGUUAUGGUGGGCACUCUAAGGAGGACUGCCGGUGACAAACCGGAGGGAAGGUGGGGGAUGACGUCAAGUCAUCACUGGCCCUUACGGCCUGGGCUACACACGUGCUACAAUGGUCGGUACAAAGGGUUGCCAAGCCGCGAGGUGGAGCUAAUCCCAUAAAACCGAUCGUAGUCCGGAUCGCAGUCUGCAACUCGACUGCGUGAAGUCGGAAUCGCUAGUAAUCGUGAAUCAGAAUGUCACGGUGAAUACGUUCCCGGGCCUU